Molecule: non-coding RNA, 156 nt
Filed under: uncultured Owenweeksia sp.
Lineage: Bacteria; Pseudomonadati; Bacteroidota; Flavobacteriia; Flavobacteriales; Owenweeksiaceae
Source: RNAcentral
AGACGCUGGGAUUAAAAGGGAAUCCGGUGUAAAUCCGGGACAGUUCCCGCUGCUGUAAGCACCGCCAAGCGCAACCCCUCUUUGUCACUGUUCCGAGUACUCGGGAUGGGAAGACCGGUUGCAGGGUGUAAGUCAGAAGACCUGCCUCAUGCAUUU